CGGAGGACAUUUUUGGCAGAGGGACGAACCAGUUCAGCUGUGCACUUCUUGGCGCUUGUGCUUCCGGCUGUGCUCUGGUUUGAGUUUGUAUUUACACGAUGCUCCACAGAAUCCCGGCAUUUCUACGCCCUCGCCCUUUCUCGGGCCUCCCUUUGUCCUGUGGAAACCGGGACGUCUCGGUGGCUGUGCUACCCGCGGCUCAGUCCGGAGCUGUGAGGACAGAAAAUAAUAUCCAAAGACAUUUUUGCACUAGCAGAUCAAUCUGUAGCAAGAAAGUUGACCAGUCUGUUCCAGCCAAUGAAAUUUCCCAGAAGGCAGCAGAGAGCCAAGGCAGGGGAAAGGAGACUUUGAAAAAAGACCUGCUGGACAUUAUUAAGGACAUGAAAGUUGACCUGAGCACAGCAAAUGUGAAAACACCAAAGCCACGUGGCAGAAAACCUUCUGCCAGUCUGGAGGCUACCGUUGACAGGCUUCAGAAAGCUCCGGAAGACCCUCCAAAGAAGAGGAAUGAGUUCCUGAGUCCUGAGUUGGUGGCUGCAGCGUCGGCUGUUGCAGAUUCCCUACCUUUUGACAAGCAGACAACCAAGUCAGAGCUGCUCAGGCAGCUGCAGCAACACGAGGAGGAGUUGAGGGCUCAGAAGGACAGAGAGAAGCGCAGGAUCAGCUUCACUCACAUAAUAUCAAAUAUGAAAAUUGCCAAGUCUCCCUCCGGGAGAGCUAGUACAAGGCCACAGCACCAGAUUCAGUUUGACGAAGACAUGGACAGUUCUCUUAAGCAGGAGAAGCCAACUGAUUUCAGAAAAAGGAAAUAUUUAUUCAAGGGGAAAAGACUUUCAAUUUUUGCUGAUAAGGCGUUUGCUGAUGAACCACCUGAACCAGGUUUGUUAAGACAAGAACAGCCUUUUCCAAGUAGAGAAGUCGUCUGUCGUUCAGAAAAGGUCCUGCUGUCUUGGCUGUAUAACAGCUGGAAGCAUCACCUUCUCUCUGGGAGAUAGAGUUUGCUAAGCAGUUAGCCUCGGUAGCUGACCAGCCCUUUGAGAAUGGAUUUGAGGAGAUGAUACAGUGGACCAAGGAGGGGAAGCUGUGGGAGUUCCCAGUCAACAAUGAAGCAGGUUUAGAUGACGAUGGCUCCGAAUUCCAUGAGCAUAUAUUUUUGGAUAAGUACCUGGAGGAUUUCCCCAAGCAAGGACCAAUCCGUCUGUUCAUGGAGCUGGUGACCUGUGGCCUUUCCAAAAACCCAUAUCUGAGUGUUAAACAGAAGGUCGAGCACAUAGAGUGGUUUAGAAAUUAUUUUAAUGAAAAAAGAGAUAUUCUCAAAGAAAAUAAUAUAGCGUUCACUUAACAUCACAAAGAAAAAAAUUUUAUUUAAACUUGAAGAUGUAUAUUAAAGCUAAAUAGAAAUUUUAUCAAAAUUCUCCUGUGUUGAUCAUUGUACCUGAUGUGACUAACAUAACUGUGAAAUUACUUUUAACCCGAAAUACAUUCUUAUUAUGUAUCUGAGAAUUAGGGAUACAUCUAAGACAAUUCUAACUUUUUUCAUUAGGUGGCUUUGCUUCUUUGUGGUAUAUAAUUGUUAGUGGUAAAGCUGAUUAACAUCAAAA
Molecule: RNA transcript, 1601 nt
Organism: Mus musculus (house mouse)
Lineage: Eukaryota; Metazoa; Chordata; Mammalia; Rodentia; Muridae
Gene: Mrps31
Gene name: mitochondrial ribosomal protein S31
Exons: 7
Source: RefSeq, marked validated